UUACUUUUUAACCAACCCAACGGGCCUUUUUCUCCUGAGGGAGGAGUGACUGGUCACCACUGGGUUCGAAGUCCAACCCAUAUCAUCUGGUCGAGACAGAGGUGGGGAUUAUUACAACAAGUAGAUAAUAAUGGUGGCACAACUGGGACUCAUCUCCUUCUCUUCUUCUUCUUGUUUUAAAACCCAUCCAUUCUCCUUCACAAAACACAACUCCUCCUCAAUUCCCACCAUGGCAGCACUCAGUGAUGAUCCUAUCCGGGAAUGGAUAUUGUCAGAGGGAAAAGCUACCAAUAUCACAAGAAUUAGUCCAAUAGGGGGUGGUUGUAUCAAUCUUGCAAAUCGUUAUGACACUGAUGCUGGCUCAUUUUUUGUCAAAACAAACAGGAAUAUUGGGCCAUCCAUGUUUGAGGGCGAGGCUUUGGGCCUAAGUGCCAUGUAUGAAACCAGAUCGAUACGUGUCCCUAGGCCAUUUAAGUUUGGAGCUCUACCAACAGGUGGUUCAUAUAUCAUUAUGGAAUACAUCGAAUUUGGUUCAUCAAGAGGCGAUCAGUCUUUGUUAGGAAAGAAGCUUGCUGAAAUGCACAAAGCAGCAAAAUCUGGAAAUGGUUUUGGUUUUCAUGUUGAUAAUACAAUUGGAAGUACCCCGCAGAGUAAUACGUGGACGUCGGACUGGAUACAGUUUUAUGCAGAGCAUAGACUGGGUUACCAACUGAAAUUAGCCCGGGAGCAGUUUGGCGAUUCAACUAUUCAUGAGAAAGGACAACGCCUUGUGAAAAAUAUUGGAUCUCUCUUCGAAAAUGUUGUCAUAGAGCCUUGCUUGUUACAUGGAGACUUAUGGAGUGGAAAUAUUUGCUCCGACAAGAAUGGCCAGCCUGUAAUAUUAGACCCAGCAUGUUACUAUGGACACAAUGAGGCCGAAUUCGGGAUGUCAUGGUGUGCUGGAUUUGGAGGAUCUUUCUACAGUGCAUACUUUGAGGUAAUGCCCAAACAACCAGGCUUUGAGAAGAGAAGAGAUCUCUACAUGCUGUAUCAUUAUUUGAACCAUUACAAUUUGUUUGGUUCUGGCUAUCGGCCAUCUGCCAUGUCAAUAAUUGAUGAUUACCUGCGGAUGUUAAAUGCUUAGAGAGUCUGACAUGUUCAUACAUGAUUAAUAUUUAUAGCCAGAUGAGAUGAGAAUCAAAUAUAGCUUAUGCAUUGUGUUGAUUUGUCACCUAAAAAUGUUUCAGCAGCAACCCCAGUUGCCCUAUCUUCGCAUACAAUUCCUCCAGCUCCUUGUAAUUUUAUAUCUUUUUUGUUCUUCAUUUUAGAGCAUUAAGCUUUGCCUUGUGCUAUGUAAUGUCAAAACAUAGUAAACUAUUCAUGAAAUAAUGUAAAUUAAACCAUUAUAUUGCAGCUUCUAUGUAUGUAGUCAUGAUAGGGUCGCGCAAACCAAUACUUAAAAUAAAACUAUAGAACCACGAAGGUUCUGCUGCAGAAUUCUAUUUUUUACAUAGAUUUUCAUGAUGUAAAUAUAUGUUUGUUUUUGCA
This is an RNA transcript of Daucus carota subsp. sativus, 1527 nucleotides long. It is a transcript of the gene named protein-ribulosamine 3-kinase, chloroplastic, with no coding region annotated. Lineage: Eukaryota; Viridiplantae; Streptophyta; Magnoliopsida; Apiales; Apiaceae. The transcript is spliced from 11 exons. The record is from RefSeq and is a predicted model, not a curated record.